This 429-nucleotide ribosomal RNA is filed under the name uncultured bacterium. RNAcentral describes it as "bacterial SSU rRNA". It matches the Rfam family "Bacterial small subunit ribosomal RNA", at positions 355 to 775 of the family's 1533-position model. The record is from RNAcentral.
UGGGGAAUAUUGGGCAAUGGGCGCAAGCCUGACCCAGCCAUGCCGCGUGAGUGAUGAAGGCCUUCGGGUCGUAAAGCUCUGUGGGGAGGGAAGAAACAGCCUAUGGCUAACAUCCAUGGGCCCUGACGGUACCUCCUUAGCAAGCACCGGCUAACUCCGUGCCAGCAGCCGCGGUAAUACGGAGGGUGCAAACGUUGCUCGGAAUCAUUGGGCGUAAAGCGCACGUAGGCGGCCGACUAAGUCAGGUGUGAAAGCCCUCGGCUCAACCGAGGAAGUGCACUUGAAACUGGCCGGCUUGAAUAUGGAAGAGGGUUGCGGAAUUCCCGGUGUAGAGGUGAAAUUCGUAGAUAUCGGGAGGAACACCAGUGGUGAAGGCGGCAACCUGGGCCAAUAUUGACGCUGAGGUGCGAAAGCGUGGGGAGCAAACAG